Non-coding RNA from Myotis brandtii (Brandt's bat), 146 nucleotides. NCBI's taxonomy places the organism in Eukaryota, Metazoa, Chordata, Mammalia, Chiroptera, Vespertilionidae. The record is from Rfam.
GUGCUCAAGCACUCGGAGCCGGUGUCCUGGGCUCCAUGGCACACACCAGUCAUCACGAUGGCUGUUGUUCAGUGGGGCCUGAAUUCAUGACUUCUCUCCUUCUUGCUGUUCACAGUUUACCUCCAGGGACCCUGAGGUUUUGAGGU